RNAcentral lists this ribosomal RNA (519 nucleotides) under uncultured eukaryote. Its description in RNAcentral is "SSU rRNA". It matches the Rfam family "Eukaryotic small subunit ribosomal RNA", at positions 1161 to 1704 of the family's 1831-position model. The record is from RNAcentral.
AGGGCACCACCAGGAGUGGAGCCUGCGGCUUAAUUUGACUCAACACGGGAAAACUCACCCGGCCCGGACACCGUAAGGAUUGACAGAUUGAGAGCUCUUUCUUGAUUCGGUGGUUGGUGGUGCAUGGCCGUUCUUAGUUGGUGGAGCGAUUUGUCUGGUUUAUUCCGAUAACGAACGAGACUCUGGCCUACUAAAUAGAGACAGGAUUAUUACUGUCCUGGAUUCUUCUUAGAGGGACAAGUGGUUUUCAGCCACACGAAAUUGAGCAAUGACAGGUCUGUGAUGCCCUUAGAUGUCCGGGGCUGCACGCGCGCUACACUGAAGGAAUCAGCGUGCUAAAACCAUUGUCGAAAGGCAUUGGUAAACCCCUCAAAAUCCUACGUGAUUGGGAUCGGGAAUUGCAAUUAUUUCCCUUGAACGAGGAAUUCCCAGUAAGUGUGGGUCAUAAGCUCGCGUUGAUUACGUCCCUGCCCUUUGUACACACCGCCCGUCGCUGCCCGGGACUGAGCCGUUUCGAGA